Molecule: ribosomal RNA, 333 nt
Filed under: Triticum aestivum (bread wheat)
Lineage: Eukaryota; Viridiplantae; Streptophyta; Magnoliopsida; Poales; Poaceae
Description: partial small subunit ribosomal RNA
Source: RNAcentral
AUGUGCUUGUCCAUCCUGCCCCGCCGGAUCAGUGCCGGGUCCAGCUUCUCCUUGUAGUUGGUGGUGAAGAUGAUGAUCCGCUCGCCGCCGCACGCAGACCACAGCCCGUCGAUGAAGUUGAGCAGGCCAGAGAGCGUCACAUUGGCCGCGUCAUCCUUCUCUGGCUCGAUUGAGUCCUUGUCGCGAGAGGCCUUCUUGUCCUUGCGGCGUUUUCCGGUGAGGUCGGCGGAGCAGUCAAUGUCCUCUAUGACGAUGAUGGACUUGCCCGUCGUCUCGAUGAAGAGCUUCCGCAACUCGGUGUUGUUGUUGAUGGCCGUGAGCUCGAGGUCGUAG